Molecule: small RNA, 86 nt
Filed under: unclassified sequences
Description: GA-cis RNA
Rfam family: GA-cis RNA
Source: Rfam by way of RNAcentral
GCCAGGAGAUGCCCAUGUGAUGAAGUCACAUAUAAAAAUGGCAUCGACGACAUCUCACAUUGCGGUGCAAUGUGAGAGUACCAACA